ACACAUGCAAGUCGAGGGGCAGCAUGGUCUUAGCUUGCUAAGGCCGAUGGCGACCGGCGCACGGGUGAGUAACACGUAUCCAACCUGCCGUCUACUCUUGGACAGCCUUCUGAAAGGAAGAUUAAUACAAGAUGGCAUCAUGAGUCCACAUGUUCACAUGAUUAAAGGUAUUCCGGUAGACGAUGGGGAUGCGUUCCAUUAGAUAGUAGGCGGGGUAACGGCCCACCUAGUCUUCGAUGGAUAGGGGUUCUGAGAGGAAGGUCCCCCACAUUGGAACUGAGACACGGUCCAAACUCCUACGGGAGGCAGCAGUGAGGAAUAUUGGUCAAUGGGCGAGAGCCUGAACCAGCCAAGUAGCGUGAAGGAUGACUGCCCUAUGGGUUGUAAACUUCUUUUAUAAAGGAAUAAAGUCGGGUAUGUAUACCCGUUUGCAUGUACUUUAUGAAUAAGGAUCGGCUAACUCCGUGCCAGCAGCCGCGGUAAUACGGAGGAUCCGAGCGUUAUCCGGAUUUAUUGGGUUUAAAGGGAGCGUAGAUGGAUGUUUAAGUCAGUUGUGAAAGUUUGCGGCUCAACCGUAAAAUUGCAGUUGAUACUGGAUAUCUUGAGUGCAGUUGAGGCAGGCGGAAUUCGUGGUGUAGCGGUGAAAUGCUUAGAUAUCACGAAGAACUCCGAUUGCGAAGGCAGCCUGGCUAAGCUGCAACUGACAUUGA
RNAcentral lists this ribosomal RNA (710 nucleotides) under uncultured Bacteroidales bacterium. RNAcentral describes it as "bacterial SSU rRNA". It matches the Rfam family "Bacterial small subunit ribosomal RNA", at positions 51 to 749 of the family's 1533-position model. Lineage: Bacteria; Pseudomonadati; Bacteroidota; Bacteroidia; Bacteroidales. The record is from RNAcentral.